AGUCACUGACAUUAGAUACCCCCGGUAGUCCAGGGUGUAGACGCUGCAGACUUGGUGUUGGAAAGUCCUUUGGGGGCAUUCAGUGCCGGAGAGAAGUUGUUAAGUCUGCUACUUGGGGAGUACGUCCGCAAGGAUGAAACUUAAAGGAAUUGGCGGGGAGCACCGCAACGGGAGGAGCGUGCGGUUUAAUUGGAUUCAACACCGUAAACUCACCAGGGAAGACUGUUACAUGAAAGCCGAGAUGAAGACUCUGCUAGAUUUUCAG
This 265-nucleotide ribosomal RNA is filed under the name uncultured archaeon. Its description in RNAcentral is "partial 16S ribosomal RNA". It matches the Rfam family "Archaeal small subunit ribosomal RNA", at positions 715 to 982 of the family's 1478-position model. The record is from RNAcentral.